GUGCCAGCAGCCGCGGUAACACGUAGGGAGCAAGCGUUGUCCGGAAUCAUUGGGCGUAAAGAGCUCGUAGGCGGCUCAGUAAGUCGGGUGUGAAACCUCCAGGCUCAACCUGGAGACGCCACUCGAUACUGCUGUGGCUAGAGUCCAGUAGGGGAGUGUGGAAUUCCCGGUGUAGCGGUGAAAUGCGCAGAUAUCGGGAGGAACACCAGCGGCGAAGGCGGCACUCUGGGCUGGUACUGACGCUGAGGAGCGAAAGCGUGGGUAGCAAACAGGAUUAGAUACCCUUGUAGUCC
This 293-nucleotide ribosomal RNA is filed under the name uncultured bacterium. RNAcentral's name for it is "partial 16S ribosomal RNA". It matches the Rfam family "Bacterial small subunit ribosomal RNA", at positions 505 to 796 of the family's 1533-position model. The record is from RNAcentral.